AUCCACGGCCAUACCACCCUGAAUGUGCCUGAUCCCGUCUGGUGCUGGCUGCUAAGCAGGGUCGGGCCUGGUUAGUACUUGGAUGGGAGACCACUUAGGAAGACCAGGUGCUGUAGGCU
RNAcentral lists this ribosomal RNA (119 nucleotides) under Pteropus alecto (black flying fox). The record is from RNAcentral. Lineage: Eukaryota; Metazoa; Chordata; Mammalia; Chiroptera; Pteropodidae.